CCUACGGGAGUCAGCAGUGAGGAAUAUUGGUCAAUGGGCGGGAGCCUGAACCAGCCAAGCCGCGUGAAGGAAGAAGGCGCCAGGCGUCGUAAACUUCUUUUGUCGGGGAACAAAGGGCGCCACGUGUGGCGUUGUGAGUGUACCCGAAGAAAAAGCAUCGGCUAACUCCGUGCCAGCAGCCGCGGUAAUACGGAGGAUGCGAGCGUUAUCCGGAUUUAUUGGGUGUAAAGGGUGCGUAGGCGGUCCGGAAAGUCAGCGGGAAAAGCCCGGGGCUCAACCCCGGCGAGCCGUGGAAACGGUCGGACUAGAGACGGCGAGAAGUACGCGGAAUGCGCGGUGUAGCGGUGAAAUGCAUAGAUAUCGCGCAGAACUCCGAUUGCGAAGGCAGCGUACCGGCGCCGGACUGACGCUGAGGCACGAAAGCGUGGGUAUCGAACAGGAUUAGAUACCCGGGUAGUC
RNAcentral lists this ribosomal RNA (459 nucleotides) under uncultured bacterium. RNAcentral describes it as "partial 16S ribosomal RNA". It matches the Rfam family "Bacterial small subunit ribosomal RNA", at positions 338 to 795 of the family's 1533-position model. The record is from RNAcentral.